UACCAGCACCCCGAGUGGUCGGGACGAUUAUUGGGCCUAAAGCAUCCGUAGCCGGUCCUGCAAGUCUUCCGUUAAAUCCAGCUGCUCAACAGAUGGGCUGCGGAGGAUACUACGUGGCUAGGAGGCGGGAGAGGCAAGCGGUACUCAGUGGGUAGGGGUAAAAUCCUUUGAUCCAUUGAAGACCACCAGUGGCGAAGGCGGCUUGCCAGAACGCGCUCGACGGUGAGGGAUGAAAGCUGGGGGAGCAAACCGG
Molecule: ribosomal RNA, 253 nt
Filed under: uncultured bacterium
Lineage: Bacteria
Description: partial 16S ribosomal RNA
Rfam family: Archaeal small subunit ribosomal RNA
Source: RNAcentral